RNAcentral lists this ribosomal RNA (369 nucleotides) under Salmonella enterica. RNAcentral's name for it is "bacterial SSU rRNA". Lineage: Bacteria; Pseudomonadati; Pseudomonadota; Gammaproteobacteria; Enterobacterales; Enterobacteriaceae. The record is from RNAcentral.
GGAGGAAGGUGGGGAUGACGUCAAGUCAUCAUGGCCCUUACGACCAGGGCUACACACGUGCUACAAUGGCGCAUACAAAGAGAAGCGACCUCGCGAGAGCAAGCGGACCUCAUAAAGUGCGUCGUAGUCCGGAUUGGAGUCUGCAACUCGACUCCAUGAAGUCGGAAUCGCUAGUAAUCGUGGAUCAGAAUGCCACGGUGAAUACGUUCCCGGGCCUUGUACACACCGCCCGUCACACCAUGGGAGUGGSUUGCAAAAGAAGUAGGUAGCUUAACCUUCGGGAGGGCGCUUACCACUUUGUGAUUCAUGACUGGGGUGAAGUCGUAACAAGGUAACCGUAGGGGAACCUGCGGUUGGAUCACCUCCUUA